CCAGACUCCUACGGGAGGCAGCAGUGGGGGAUAUUGCACAAUGGGGGGAACCCUGAUGCAGCGACGCCGCGUGGGUGAAGGAGCGUUUCGGCGCGUAAAGCCCUAUCGGCAGGGAAGAAGGAGGACGGUACCUGACUAAGAAGCCCCGGCUAACUACGUGCCAGCAGCCGCGGUAAUACGUAGGGGGCGAGCGUUAUCCGGAUUCACUGGGCGUAAAGGGAGCGCAGGCGGCACGGCAAGUCCGGUGUGAAAGCCCGGGGCCCAACCCCGGGACUGCACUGGAAACUGCCGGGCUGGAGUGUCGGAGGGGCAGGCGGAAUUCCUAGUGUAGCGGUGAAAUGCGUAGAUAUUAGGAGGAACACCGGUGGCGAAGGCGGCCUGCUGGACGACGACUGACGCUGAGGCUCGAAAGCGUGGGGAGCAAACAGGAUUAGAUACCCUCGUA
This 445-nucleotide ribosomal RNA is filed under the name uncultured bacterium. RNAcentral's name for it is "partial 16S ribosomal RNA". It matches the Rfam family "Bacterial small subunit ribosomal RNA", at positions 331 to 792 of the family's 1533-position model. The record is from RNAcentral.